Molecule: ribosomal RNA, 821 nt
Filed under: uncultured bacterium
Lineage: Bacteria
Description: bacterial SSU rRNA
Rfam family: Bacterial small subunit ribosomal RNA
Source: RNAcentral
GCAAGUCGAGCGCGCCCUUCGGGGUGAGCGGCGGACGGGUGAGUAACGCGUGGGAACGUGCCCUUUGCUGCGGAAUAGCCACUGGAAACGGUGAGUAAUACCGCAUGAGCCCUUCGGGGGAAAGAUUUAUCGGCAAGGGAUCGGCCCGCGUUGGAUUAGGUAGUUGGUGGGGUAAUGGCCUACCAAGCCGACGAUCCAUAGCUGGUUUCAGAGGAUGAUCAGCCACACUGGGACUGAGACACGGCCCAGACUCCUACGGGAGGCAGCAGUGGGGAAUCUUAGACAAUGGGCGCAAGCCUGAUCUAGCCAUGCCGCGUGAGUGACGAAGGCCCUAGGGUCGUAAAGCUCUUUCGCCUGUGAAGAUAAUGACGGUAGCAGGUAAAGAAGCCCCGGCUAACUCCGUGUCAUCAGCCGCGGUAAUACGGAGGGGGUUAGCGAUGUUCGGAAUUACUGGGCGUAAAGCGCGCGUAGCGGACCAUCAAGUUGGGGGUGAAAUCCCGGGGCUCAACCCCGGAACUGCCUCCAAAACUGGCGGUCUGGAGUUCGAGAGAGGUGAGUGGAAUUCCGAGUGUAGAGGUGAUAUUUCGUAGAUAUUCGGGAGGAACACCAGUGGCGAAGGCGGCUCACUGGCUCGAGACUGACGUCUGAUGUGCGAAAUGUGUGGGGUAGCAAACAGGAUUAGAUACCCUGGGUAGUCCACAUCGGUAAACGAUGAAUGCCAGUCGUCUGCUAGCAUGCUUGUCAGUGACACACCUAACGGAUUAAGCAUUCCGACCUGGAGGAGUACCGCCGUAGGUUACAACUCAGAUGAAUUGACCGAU